GGAGAGGUGGCCGAGAUGGCUGAAGGUGCACGCCUGGAAAGCGUGUGUACUCUAACCGGGUACCGAGGGUUCGAAUCCCUCCUUCUCCGCCA
This 92-nucleotide transfer RNA is filed under the name Desulfobacula sp. GWF2_41_7. Its description in RNAcentral is "tRNA-Ser". It matches the Rfam family "tRNA". Rfam says of the family: Transfer RNA (tRNA) molecules are approximately 80 nucleotides in length. Their secondary structure includes four short double-helical elements and three loops (D, anti-codon, and T loops). RNAcentral also lists the same sequence under 2 other names. Lineage: Bacteria; Pseudomonadati; Thermodesulfobacteriota; Desulfobacteria; Desulfobacterales; Desulfobacteraceae. The record is from RNAcentral.